UUUUUGUCGAUAGUAGAAUUCAGGUGCAUUUCUGUCAGCGUUUGAAUAAUUCGGGGGUGUUUUUAGUAGUUAACCCUAUAAAUAAAUAAAUAUAAGAUGAAAUCAAGCUUUUAUGUUUUAGUUAUUUAUAAUAUCUGAUAAUAUAUACACUGCAUUCAAAAGUAAAUGCUCUUAUUUAAUGCAGGUGAAGAAUUCAAACCAGUAGAAGAAGCAUCAAAACCUGCCAAACCUGAGUCUUAAGGUGCAGAGAACUCGGCAUCAAUCGCUGGCCUCAUAGGAAAAUCAAAAGCUUGCCUUUACUCUUACAAAAUCUGAAGGUAUACUUAUAAUUAUUGUGGUGGUCAAUGAUUGAAUGAAAACUGAUUAUUUUAAUUUGAAUGUAAGAGAUGAGCUUGGAUAAUGAAGUUGGAGUGGUCGAGCAAAAAAUAGAGAUGUUAGAGCAAGUUCCAGGGAUGAAACACAGACGAGACCAAGAAACUAAGGCAGACUUAUUUUAAAGCUAAUUACAAAAGAGGAAACUUUUGGCCUUCAAAUCUUAUUCAUCAUCACUGAGCUAAGCUACUUGUCUUGUAUAUUCAUAUUCUAAGUAGUAAAAACAACACUUAUUAAAUAGUUUAAAUACAUUAUUAGAUAUUAACAUAGUUUAAGGAACUGGAUGGUAGAUUUGACUGAUUAAUGCUUAUUGCAAUGCUUGUAUUUUGGUAAGUUUAGUAAGACAAAUUGUUGUAUAGGAGUUAUUACUUUUGAUUUCCAAUAAUAAAAAAUUAUAUAUUAUAUUAA
Arachis ipaensis is the source of this 780-nucleotide non-coding RNA. NCBI's taxonomy places the organism in Eukaryota, Viridiplantae, Streptophyta, Magnoliopsida, Fabales, Fabaceae. The record is from RefSeq and is a predicted model, not a curated record.